GUUCCGUAGGUGAACCUGCGGAAGGAUCAUUAUUGUAUAACCGAGGUGCGAGGGCUGUCGCUGUCCCGAAAGGUCGUGCACGCCCGAGUGCCCUCACACACAUCCAUCUCACCCCUAUGUGCACCACCGCGUGGGUCCCCCUUUGGCUUGUUCGGAGGGGGGCUUACGUUUUCACACAAACUUUGUAUGCAGUGUAGAAUGUAUUUUUUGUUUUUGCGAUCACGCAAUCAAUACAACUUUCAACAACGGAUCUCUUGGCUCUC
Molecule: unclassified non-coding RNA, 263 nt
Filed under: plant metagenome
Description: partial contains small subunit ribosomal RNA, internal transcribed spacer 1, and 5.8S ribosomal RNA
Source: RNAcentral